This is a long non-coding RNA of Ochotona curzoniae (black-lipped pika), 1174 nucleotides long. RefSeq lists it as uncharacterized. The transcript has 6 exons. The record is from RefSeq and is a predicted model, not a curated record. NCBI's taxonomy places the organism in Eukaryota, Metazoa, Chordata, Mammalia, Lagomorpha, Ochotonidae.
CUGGGUACCUGUAUUCUGCUAUCUACAAGAUCUGUGAGGAACUGGAUCCAACAUGGAGUACCUGAGACAUGAAAGGACACCAAUAUGUGACACUGGUACCACUGGCCGAGACUUCUGCAAGAGCAGCCACUUGGCUAACUGCUAUAAUCUACUCUACUAUACCUUUCUGGAGCCUUGGAUGUCACACAGCUCUUGGUGUGUGCAAACUGGGUAGCAACCAGCUUCAGGCCCUGGCUGGUGAAUUCCUUGACUUGAAUCUGGGACUCAGGGCUGCAGAAGCAUCUGAAGCUACAGAUCUCCAGAUGCAGAAUGGAGACCCUUCUUGCCGUGUUUAAAGAGCAUUUCAGAAUACACACAGAGACAGGCAACAUCUGGACACAUCUCUAAGCAAUGAAAACCUAAAAUUGCAUGUCUGUAAGUGGGCCUCCAGAGCCCAGUGCAACAAGGAGCCCCACAGCCCCUUCCGGCCACACAGAACUUCCCAGGGUGAGGAGAGGAAGCACAGCAGGGCGCCCUGGUGUCCAGGAGGAGGAAGAAAAGGGUCCCCAAAGGUGGGGCGUCCAGCGGAGGAAUCCUGCGUGGUGCUGACGCGGAGGGAUUGGCCGCAUGGUCACUUCCUGUGAGAUGCUGCGGCCCUGCACCCUCAGUCAGUGAAGAGCCAGUGGAGAAAGAGGACAAGUCACUGGGUUCUCCAGAGAACUGUUCUCUUGCAAGAGAUGCUCUGCGGGUUGCGGCUCCGGGAGAGGACGUAAGGGCUCAUGGACUCCAGCUGAAAAUCAUCCUGCCUGCUGUCCACCUGCCCCCCACCUGGGGAGGGUCUCUCAGUGGCCGCCAUGGUGGACAUGGGGCCGGCUGUGUGCAAGUUGGUGCCGCUCCCAGAGUGCCUGGUCUUUGAGCCUCGCUGGAGGACUUCAUAGACCCACUGGGCUUCAUCAGCACCAUCUGACCUGUUACUGAAAACAAGGACACCUACAAGGGUGUGCAGAUGCCUAAUUGAGAUCUUGAGGAAAAAGUGGAACCUGACAUUCUUCUCACUGAUACCCAAACUUCCCCAGAUGCUGGUGCCAGGAUGAAUCAUUGGCUGAAGAGAACAAGAUGUCUCAAAUCUCAGAGCCCAGGCUGAAGAGAAACGCACAGUCUUGCAAGAGAUGCAGCACAGACAUGUAGAAAAACA